This 70-nucleotide transfer RNA is filed under the name Danio rerio (zebrafish). It matches the Rfam family "tRNA". From Rfam's summary of the family: Transfer RNA (tRNA) molecules are approximately 80 nucleotides in length. Their secondary structure includes four short double-helical elements and three loops (D, anti-codon, and T loops). The record is from Rfam by way of RNAcentral. Lineage: Eukaryota; Metazoa; Chordata; Actinopteri; Cypriniformes; Danionidae.
ACUAAAAUGCCCGAGUGGUUAAGGUGUUGGACUUAAAAUCCAAUGGACACAUGUCCUCAUGUUUUUACCA